This 826-nucleotide ribosomal RNA is filed under the name uncultured organism. RNAcentral describes it as "bacterial SSU rRNA". It matches the Rfam family "Bacterial small subunit ribosomal RNA", at positions 525 to 1355 of the family's 1533-position model. The record is from RNAcentral.
ACGUAUGGGGCAAGCGUUGUUCGGAAUUAUUGGGCAUAAAGGGCGUCUAGCCGGGGGACUAAGUUAGGUGUGAAAGCCAUGGGCUCAACCCAUGAAUUGCACCUAAAACUGGUUUUCUUGAGUUCGGGAGAGGAGAGCGGAAUUCCCGGUGUANCGGUGAAAUGCGUAGAUAUCGGGAAGAACACCAGUGGCGAAGGCGGCUCUCUGGCCUAGAACUGACGCUGAAGCGCGAAAGCGUGGGGAGCGAACGGGAUUAGAUACCCCGGUAGUCCACGCCGUAAACGUUGUGUACUAGGUGUUAGUGGCUUGACCACUAGUGCCGUCGCAAACGCAUUAAGUACACCGCCUGGGGAGUACGUCCGCAAGGAUGAAACUCAAAGAAAUUGACGGGGGCCCGCACAAGCGGUGGAGCAUGUGGUUUAAUUCGAUGAUACGCGAAGAACCUUACCUGGGCUUGAACUGUACUUGAUCGGUGUAGAGAUACACCCUCCUUCGGGCAGGUGCAGAGGUGCUGCAUGGUUGUCGUCAGCUCGUGUCGUGAGAUGUUGGGUUAAGUCCCGCAACGAGCGCAACCCUUACCCCUUGUUGCCAUCAGGUAAUGCUGAGCACUCUAGGGGAACUGUCGGUGAUAAACCGGAGGAAGGUGGGGAUGACGUCAAAUCAUCACGGCCCUUAUGUCCAGGGCUACACACGUGCUACAAUGGCCGGUACAAUGAGUUGCGAGACCGCGAGGUGGAGCUAAUCUCAAAAAACCGGUCUCAGUUCGGAUUGCAGUCUGCAACUCGACUGCAUGAAGCUGGAAUCGCUAGUAAUCGCGGAUCAGCAC